UAGGGAAUUUUGCGCAAUGGGGGAAACCCUGACGCAGCAACGCCAUGUGUGGGAUGAAGCAUUUCGGUGUGUAAACCACUGUCGGCAGGGAAUAAAGCCCACCUUUAUGGUGGGGGUGAAUGUACCUGCAGAGGAAGCCCCGGCUAACUUCGUGCCAGCAGCCGCGGUAAUACGAGGGGGGCAAGUGUUGUUCGGAAUCACUGGGCGUAAAGGGAGCGUAGGCGGGCUCUUAAGUUGGAUGUUUAAAACCGGGGCCCAACCCCGGCGUGGCAUCCAAAACUGGGAGUCUUGAAUGGAACAGAGGCUAGUGGAAUUGGAGGUGUAGCGGUGGAAUGCGUAGAGAUCUCCAAGAACACCCGUUGCGAAGGCGGCCAGCUGGGUCCACAUUGACGCUGAGGCUCGAAAGCAUGGGGAGCAAACAGGAUUAGAUACCCCCGUAGUCC
This 443-nucleotide ribosomal RNA is filed under the name uncultured bacterium. RNAcentral's name for it is "bacterial SSU rRNA". It matches the Rfam family "Bacterial small subunit ribosomal RNA", at positions 355 to 796 of the family's 1533-position model. The record is from RNAcentral.